CAGUAGCCGCGGGAAUACGUAGGGUGCAAGCGUUAAUCGGAAUUACUGGGCGUAAAGCGUGCGCAGGCGGUUAUAUAAGACAGAUGUGAAAUCCCCGGGCUCAACCUGGGAACUGCAUUUGUGACUGUAUAGCUAGAGUACGGCAGAGGGGGAUGGAAUUCCGCGUGUAGCAGUGAAAUGCGUAGAUAUGCGGAGGAACACCGAUGGCGAAGGCAAUCCCCUGGGCCUGUACUGACGCUCAUGCACGAAAGCGUGGGGAGCAAACAGGAUUAGAUACCCCAGUAGGUCCCUGUCUCUUAUA
Molecule: ribosomal RNA, 301 nt
Filed under: uncultured bacterium
Lineage: Bacteria
Description: partial 16S ribosomal RNA
Rfam family: Bacterial small subunit ribosomal RNA
Source: RNAcentral